RNAcentral lists this ribosomal RNA (487 nucleotides) under uncultured bacterium. RNAcentral describes it as "partial 16S ribosomal RNA". It matches the Rfam family "Bacterial small subunit ribosomal RNA", at positions 28 to 507 of the family's 1533-position model. The record is from RNAcentral.
GAUGAACGCUAGCGAUAGGCUUAACACAUGCAAGUCGAGGGGCGGCACAAGGUAGCUUGCUCUCUGGGUGGCGACCGGCGCACGGGUGCGUAACGCGUAUGCAACUUGCCCUAUACAGGAGGAUAACCCGUCGAAAGACGGACUAAUACUGCGUAUGCUCACAACUUGGCAUCAAGUGGUGAGGAAAGAAAUUCGGUAUAGGAUAGGCAUGCGUCCCAUUAGCUUGUUGGUGAGGUAACGGCUCACCAAGGCAACGAUGGGUAGGGGAACUGAGAGGUUUAUCCCCCACACUGGUACUGAGACACGGACCAGACUCCUACGGGAGGCAGCAGUGAGGAAUAUUGGUCAAUGGGCGCGAGCCUGAACCAGCCAAGUCGCGUGAAGGAUGACUGUCUUAUGGAUUGUAAACUUCUUUUAUACGGGAAUAACAAGAGUCACGUGUGACUCCCUGCAUGUACCGUAUGAAUAAGCAUCGGCUAACUCCGUG